UUUCAUCUAUCUUGUCCUAAUCAUUAAUUGAGACUUGUUGCAUCUUCCGAUUUUGUACUUUUAAUAUUUUAUCCAAAUAUACUUAUUUAAAAAUUUUAAGAAACAUUCGUUAUAAUACAAAUGAAAUUUUAUAAAAUCUCAUAUUUCAUGCACUUCUAACAAACCCACAGAAUAAAAAUCACAGCACCAAAAUGGUUUAAUUAUUAAACAAUUUCUAAAUAUUCUGUUGUCUGUCUACUUAUAAUUAAAUUUUCCAACUUUUCUUUAUCAAUUCUAUCAUUCUGCCACAUUACUUGCCGCUCUAUCUUACACGGACUACGUGUUACCUCUUAAUCAUACGCCUCGUAUAGCUUACCUACAUAUAUACAGCCGCGAUUCGAGAGGAAAAAUAUCCAUGUAGAGCAGUGGUUUUGAUCACAUAAAGUGGUACAAAUUAAAACUGAUUCAGUUUAAUUAUCAGAGUCAUUCUUUUAUUAAAUUCUUUCAAUAAAAACUCAUGAUUAAUUUUGUUGCAAAAAAAAUUUUAAACUUAAAUAGAUGCUAGUUUUUAUUAAGAUUAAAUUUAAUGAUACUCACUAAUAAUAUCCUAUUUAAUUCUCUGAAUGUUUAAUUUUAAUAAUGAUUAUUAGUUGAAAUGAAAGAUUUCAUUAUCUUUUGUAGUAACUUAAACUUAUUAAAGUUUAAUGCAAACAAGCUCAAGAUUAAUAUGAAAUAUAUUUUAAUAAUGAUCAAUUUUUGUUAUUGUACACAAAAUAUAGAAUACUUCUGAAGUUUUGAGAAUGUAAUAAUAAAUUAAACAAAAAUUUGAAUAAUGCUAUAGAUGCAAAAUCAUUCAAGUUGUACAUUAUUCGAUCAUCAUCAAUUAAAUCAAAUUUAAAAUAAUUUUAUGCUUCUAAGAAAUUAAGAAAUUAAAAAACCAGAUUUAAAAAGUGCCACUUAUAAAUGAAAUAUGUGAAAUAUAAGUUUAUAAAUUUAACAUUUGGUAAUUAUCUAUAAAUCUUCAAUUUCAAAACCAUCUCUCUACAUUGUUAAAACUUUUCUUCGCCUUUUACUUUUUUCGCCUAUGAAAAAUUCAACAUACAACGACGUACAAAUCACACAUUCACAUACUGUGCAUCAGACGUUGUUCACAGAUGCAUCAUGGGCCGGCACAACCGAUCUUAGGAACCGAGUGGAAUAAGCGACAGAUUGCGCCACACCCCCAAAAGGAAAUUCAUUUGGAUAUAAACACAUAUAACGUAACAUAAAUGCUCAGCAGAGAGUCACCCUGGCCAGAGUUUCCCUCAGUGGCGUCUCUCAAAAAUGGACGUCCCUCACGUCGGUCGGUGUUCCCGCCUUCUCGUGUUCCAGGAUCUUUUCCUGGCUGGUUAUCUCGUCCCCCAGAGGCC
This is a long non-coding RNA of Apis florea (little honeybee), 1388 nucleotides long. The record is from RefSeq and is a predicted model, not a curated record. Lineage: Eukaryota; Metazoa; Arthropoda; Insecta; Hymenoptera; Apidae.